AAAAAUUUCGACUAAAACUUCUAAUUUGCAGCUAAUACAAAAUGGAUUGAUUUCGUUUUGCUGCAAAUUAGAAGUCUUAGUGACAAAAAUCAUUUACAUUACUGGUAAGUGGCGAGGAGAAAAAGUCAACUCGCUCACUAGGAUGCCCAGACUGUUCCCUAACUCAAACUUUAAUCCUUGCUAAGUACCUCAACUUAUUGAAUCAAUGUGCCAAACUGUCAGCAUUAUUGUCUGCGUAGUAUUAUUGGGGUAAUGUAUUUAAGAGUUUCAAUAAUCAGGAUACAAUUUGUGUUGCAACAUGAGAUGUAUAAUAGAUCGAUACAUUAGCCUUUUGAGAAAUGCUA
Folsomia candida is the source of this 344-nucleotide long non-coding RNA. RefSeq lists it as uncharacterized. NCBI's taxonomy places the organism in Eukaryota, Metazoa, Arthropoda, Collembola, Entomobryomorpha, Isotomidae. The record is from RefSeq and is a predicted model, not a curated record. The transcript is spliced from 2 exons.